CCUACGGGGAGCUGCAGUGGGGAAUAUUGCACAAUGGGGGAAACCCUGAUGCAGCGACGCCGCGUGAGUGAAGAAGUAUUUCGGUACGUAAAGCUCUAUCAGCAGGGAAGAAAAUGACGGUACCUGACUAAGAAGCCACGGCUAACUACGUGCCAGCAGCAGCGGUAAUACGUAGGGGGCAAGCGUUAUCCGGAUUUACUGGGUGUAAAGGGAGCGUAGACGGCAGCGUAAGUCUGGAAUGAAAUCACAUGGCUUAACCAUGGAACUGCGUUGGAAACGGUGCAGCUAGAGUGCAGGAGAGGUAAGCGGAAUUCCUAGUGUAGCGGUGAAAUGCGUAGAUAUUAGGAGGAACCCCAGUGGCGAAGGCGGCUUACUGGACUGUAACUGACGUUGAGGCUCGAAAGCGUGGGGAGCAAACAGGAUUAGAUACCCUUGUAGUC
Molecule: ribosomal RNA, 440 nt
Filed under: uncultured bacterium
Lineage: Bacteria
Description: partial 16S ribosomal RNA
Rfam family: Bacterial small subunit ribosomal RNA
Source: RNAcentral